CACUGACAGCGAGCUCCGUGUGUGGUGGCCCCUACCCUUGCUGACGCCUGUGCAGUCCUCCUGGGUACCCCUGCAGUGGAUUCGCAAGUUCUACAGGAAUAAACCUCUGGGUAUUGGGCAAUAAUGAUUGGCUACAAGCAAGACUGGUGACAAUUGCACGACCAGAAACAUGGACUUGUUGGGAAACUGCUGUUUAGAGAGUCUUCGCUUCCUCGCUGCAGUGAAAUCAUAUGAGACUGUGACCUCUUCCUAGGUAUCAACUAGACCAGACCUGAUCUCUUAUGUAAUGAAACCAUUAGCAUAGUAUAUCAGUUGAACGGUACCCUUAAUAAAGACAUCGAAAUGCAUUUCUUAUUUCAUUUUCUACAAUGCCUUUUUGAGAUUGUUUUUUUAUAAUUCUGGGAAAACAAGGCAACAUGAAAACAAAAAAAAAAAAAUAGGAGAGAUUUGAAGAGCUCAAAUGGAAGCACUCUUUCAAGAAUUUUGAAAUAUUUAAUUAAUUAUAGAGCUGGAUUCUGGUGGCUGCCUGGUUAGAACUGAGGAGGCGAAUAUGCCAAUUUCAAAAUUAAACAUCAGGGAAAAAAAGAACCACAAUAUGCAAAUUUAGCUUAAGCUACAUAUGACCCAGUUCAGAUUGACUGGACUAUCCCCUUCAGUAAUUGCAUGCAUAAUUGUACCACAUUAAGUUUCCUAUGUAUGUAUCUAAUUUAUAAUGCAUAUGUGUUUUUUUUUUCAAAGUUUUGGCAGGGCAACUACAUUAAGCAAAGCUGUGGUCCAGGCUGGAAACUCACUUUUUAAAUCAAGCUUAUUAAGUGUCAAUAGCCAGUCAAUCGUUAACUGAAAAAGCAGAACCUCACCGCUAACAAUGUAAUUAAUUGUCAAGUGAUUGCCAGGGAAGGGAUUUAAAUCUUUCCUGAUACAUUACCUCCCAGCUGUGAGUCAGAGUCUGCCUCCUCCUCCCCAGCCUCCACCUGAUUUUUGAACUCUUCAAAGGGGGAGGGCAGCCAUCCUGCCCCCUGCCCAUGACUUCCCUGCAGUCAGCCUCUCCAUUUAUCAGUGGCAAAAUGUAUGGGAAAGGGUUCAUUGAGGCGAGGCCAGAGAUGUAUUAUAUGUCUAAAUGUGUUAUCCAUGAAUGUGUAAUAUGCAAAAAUGUGUUAUUGUGUCUAAUCUGUAAUAAAUAUUCUAUCACAUGAGUUCCCUGACUGAAAUAGAGUUCACCCAAACUGUUUUCAUUUAAAAAAAAAAAAAAAGGAAUUCUCUGUACAUCUUUUAAACUGUUGACUGUCAUUUUUAUCAAAAAAAAAAAAAAAAAAAGAAAAUUCCAGGCACUAAAAAUGUCCCAUUUUGAAAUUCCCACACUGGAAGCCAGGGAAUCAUUCAUCGGAGACCAAAAAAACACAACAAACUAAAUUGCCAUCAAAUUGCCUUCCAUAUAUUAUAAAAAAGAAAAAAAAAAAACAGAAAUGGGGCUAAAGUGAAUUACUUUAGGUUCUAAAUGCAUCUCUGGGUUCUAUUGAAUUCAUCAUAAUCCACCCAAUGCAACUGUAACCUUGUAAUUCACUGCAGCACAUCUAUUAUUCUAAAUGUUUGAUGAAUAUAUAUAUUUUUUUAAAUGGAGUCAGGUGAUUAAGUUAAGCAAUGAAUAUAAAUAUAAAUAUCAAAUACAGGUAGGCAGUAUCAAAAGUGUGAUACCUGGUGUAAAGUUAUACUGUUGGGUUUAACUCAGGUAUAUUGAAAAAGCACAUGCAAAACUUUAAUACCAUGUAUAAAAGAAUAAGAACUAACUAAAAUAGAUACAUGCGAACAAAAUGUAGAAAUAUGUAAAAAGUGUUGUUGGGGAGGGGGGAAUAUGUUUUGGCUCCAGUAAAAACUCAACUGUAUAAAUAGGUACCAAAAUUUGAACUCCAUUCAACUGUUUGACACAAUGUAACAAGAUUCAUUGUUAACUCCCAAAAUUGUAAAUGUUAGAAAAACCCUAAAGAAAAAGGUACAUUGUAUCUAUGAUGAAUCUUGUAACGUUGGGUCAAACUGCUGAAAUUUGCUUCUAGCACUGUUUGAUCAGUAAAGGUAUUUAAAGUUUGUUUGGUAGGAUUUCAAUAGUAUUCUGCUAUGCUCACUUAGUUUUAUUACAUGCAUCAUUUUCAUCCCAAAUGGAACUUCAGAAGCGAGUGUUCCAGGCAGUUCUAUUUAUUGUAAGCUAUGUGAAAUAAAGGCUGGUUCGGGGCAGUUUUUUGUCAGCAUGUUAUGUGGAUCAAGAAGACUCCUGCAAGACUUGGGCUGUCUUGGGCUACAGAGGUGAUUAUCUUUGUGUGUUGAAUUUUAGAAUUAUUGGGCUACUGAGAUACUGUGUGCUUUUGGUAAUUUUUUUUUUUUUUUUUUUUACCCUUUACUGCCAGCUGUUCAGUAUAAAUUCUAAAGUAUGUGCUAUUUACAACUAUAGAUAUGUUUGCUGUUGCGCUCCAGUUCAUGUUUGCAUUACACUAGGAACAGUAUUGCGAUACAGAAUAAACAGCAGCUGGUUUAAUGUACUGGAAUGGACUUCAUUUCAGGGUUUGUAAGCAUUUGCUGUCUAAGUUCCAAUUUCCUACUGAAUGAUUUAUCAUUGUGAGCUGUGCAUGUUCAUUAAAUUCAUUCAAUAUUUCAUUGAUAGAAAGCCUUAUUUUUUUAAAUGAUUGGCUUUAAAGUAAUCAUAAAAAGCGUUUGGGGGUUAAUGUUAAUUAUCUAACCCCUUAAGGUACACAAGGAAUUGAACAGUUGUUCAAAAGGUUUCUUCCUAAAUUACAUUUGAGAGCAAGUAUCACAAAGAAACUGGCAAUUUGGAUGACCAGCUCCAACCUGGCAGUACAUUUUAAAUCCUGUUUUGUGCUCCUCAUUACAACAAUAAUUGUAAUUUUAUUUCUGGGACACUUCUCUUGUACCAUAAAGGGCUAAACAGUAAUUUUAAAAAUGGCAAACAAAAAUCAUGGACCUUUUUAUUUUUUUAUUUUACUGUAUUUAUAUUAUGUGUUGUAUUGUUUGACAAUAAAUCACCAU
Long non-coding RNA from Polyodon spathula (Mississippi paddlefish), 3033 nucleotides. RefSeq lists it as uncharacterized. NCBI's taxonomy places the organism in Eukaryota, Metazoa, Chordata, Actinopteri, Acipenseriformes, Polyodontidae. The record is from RefSeq and is a predicted model, not a curated record. The transcript has 3 exons.